Paramormyrops kingsleyae is the source of this 3464-nucleotide non-coding RNA. Lineage: Eukaryota; Metazoa; Chordata; Actinopteri; Osteoglossiformes; Mormyridae. The record is from RefSeq and is a predicted model, not a curated record.
CAUGGCAACGGCCUGGAUGUAUGCGGCAGGCGAUGAUGCUCCGUUUAGCCUCCUGGCGAACUAGAUGAAAUUAAGGCAACGUUUUCAGUACAAUUUUUAAGUGCUUGCAUCUGUGCUAGUAUGCUAAUGCGUACGUUUGCUUCUUGGUUGCCUGAAACACGGUUAUCGACAUGCUAGCUAACUAAUAUGGUUUGCGGUUUAUAGGAUAGGAUAGAUUCUGCCGUAUCAUUUAACAUUUAAGGAUGUCGUCAUAUAUCACACCGUCCCACGGUUUGCAGAAAUCGCAGCAGACCGAGGAUGAGCGAUUCUACAUGAGAUGCAGGGCCGCGUACGUGGCGGUGUUUAAGUCCAGUCUAGCAAACAUACAAAGCAAGGAGCAACUGUGCAUAGUUUUGCAACAGGCUGGGCUGAAUCCGUCUCUGAAAACUCUGGGUGCGUACUGGACCCCAGGGACAGUCAAACUUAACUUUGACGACUUCUGCGAAAUACUUAAAAAGGAGAAACCAAUAGACAAAAAUGAGGUACUGAAGGCUUUCAGAAAGAUGGAUCCAGACGGUAGCGGAUAUAUUUCACAUGGUGAUCUCUACAGAGUCCUCACUUCAACUGGAGAAAAGAUGAGUCCCGAGGAAGUAAACAGCAUCUUUUCCAUCAUGGAGAUUAACCGGGAUGGAAAGCUGGACUACAACGAGUUCUGCAGGCUGUUGGUGUUCGCCACCAAGGAGUGCCAGACCGUGGACCUUCAGAGACUGGAGGCCGACGGUAGACAGAAGAGGCAGAAUUUCGGCAAUGAUUCGGAGAGCUCUCCCCAGAGGCCUGCCACACAGCCCAGCCCUGAGCCUUCAGAGAGCUCUCUCCAGAGGCCUACCACACAGCCCGGCCCUGCAGCUUCAGAGAGCUCUCUCCAGAGGCCUGCCACACAGCCCGGCCCUGCGGCUUCAGAGAGCUCUCUCCAGAGGCCUGCCACACAGCCCGGCCCUGUGGCUUCAGAGAGCUCUCUCCAGAGGCAUGCCACACAGCCCGGCCCUUCGGCUUUAGAGAGCUCUCUCCAGAGGCCUGCCACACAGCCCGGCCCUGUGGCUUCAGAGAGUUCUCUCCAGAGGCCUGCCACACAGCCCGGCCCUGCGGCUUCAGAGAGCUCUCUCCAGUGGCCUGCCACACAGACCGGCCCUGCGGCUUCAGAGAGCGCCCUGAAAACAGAGCUGGACACCACUCCGAGGAAAGGUGGGGCAGAGAACCGGUCCCCCGCCUGGACCUCCUCCGCCCGCAGCCGGAGAUCAUCCACAUCAGGAGCCGGUGGGACGAGAAGCGGCAAACUGCUGGAGCCCCGCUCGCUGCAGGACUGGCAUCACAUCAGUUUGAAAGGUUGCUUCUACCUGGAGGACGAUGGAGAGAUUGUAUCCCUGCAAUACCGACUGCACCUUGCCCAGACAACGGCCGUCUUCCUCACCGUACAGCCUCUCAACCUGCGUCUGGUGGACGAAAAACCCUCAUCUUGGAUGAACAUUGACACUGCACUGUUCCUUAUGAAUGAAACAAAGGACGGCUUUAACUUUGUCUGUUGUACGGAGUUGCGCGAUAAAGAGAAAUGUGGCUGGAAGGGAGAGCUGAAUGGCGGCACCUACUAUAUAAUACCGUUUACCACGGGCUGCAGGCUGAGAAAGAGCAGGCAACCAGUGACAAAGACUGCUCAACUGGUAUAUCGCACCGAAACUGGGGAGCUGGCUCUCACUAAGGAGUUCAGAGCCACCCUCUCAGACAUAUUUGAGGUCAUCGACCUGGAUGGCAACGGCCUACUCAGCUUGGAGGAAUACAAUUUCUUUGAGCAGAGGAGCAGCGGCGAGAAAUGCGACAGGGAUGCUUGGGCCGUCUGCAAAGAGAACUUCGACACCAGGAAGAACCAGCUGACACGCCAGGGCUUCAUGGAGCUCAGCUUGAUGGAGGCGAACGACCGCGAGGGCGACCCCAGUGACUUAUGGGUAACCCUGGAGUCCAUGGGCUAUAACAGAGCCUUGGAGAUGGUGGAGGCCUGCCCUUUCGCGGUCAAUGUGUACUCAGAGGCCUCCAAGCCCACCGUGCAGCCCGUCAGCCUGGAGUCGUCUGGCAGGGUGCUAAACGCUGCAGUGUGCGAGUCUGUCAUCGCUAAAGGGCAGGGCAGGCCGCUGAGGGGCCACAGUGACGUGCUCAUCCACACUUACAGGAGCGAAGCCAGGAUCUCCUCCGUCAUCGACAAUAAGUCUGCAGAGAAGGUGACAGUCCACGUAAACAACGAGCAGAAUAAGAACUGCUGUGGCAGCAGGGGCUUAAGCAUGUUUGCUGUGGAAAUCCCCCCCAGAAGCAAAGUGGUCUGCCAACACAUUGUUCCUGUCAAUGAAAAGCAGGAGUGGAUCUACAACUGUGUGGAAAAUAUCCUGCCCUGAGCCUCAGACUCUCACCGUCCAUGUGGGAUAAUGAGCUGUCAUUAAUGAGACAGCGGCGACACUGUCCCAAAGACAUCUAGUCUAUGUCAGCCCCAUGACCAUGACCAUGCCCUGGAUUGAUGGGUGGGAAAUGGAGGAAAGGGAUGAGUGGGUAAAAGUGUGUGUUGUGUGUGUGUGUGUGUGUGUGUGUGUGGAUUAGGUUUAUAUAACAUUGUGGGGACCAUUUUUCAUCUCUCCAUCUGUUUCAGUCAUUUAUCUUGUUUACAUUUUCACUUAUUUAGCAGAGACUUCCAGCCAAAGUGACAUACAAUUGAGAAGAGUGUCCCAACCAACUGUGUCACACACUGUCCCCUGAGUAACAACUGACCUACAAAAUAUUACCUGUAUAAAAUAUCUGUACGCAUAAACAAUGUAUUUCUAUUGCAAAGGAGUAGUUUAUGGAUCCAUAAAAAUAUCAAUAAGCUCUAACAUACCACAGUCACUUUAGUAAUGCUUCUAUGUCAUUCUAAAAGGUAUGUUUUGUUUAUUAAUUUGUAUUUAUUAAAGUAUCGAACCCUGUAAACCUGUACUGGAUAAACUAAUGGAAGAGGAGUGUAUUGAAAAGCACAGCACGGUUAGAAAGCUUUUUUGGGCGCGGCUCGUAUACCCGGUUCGGGUCUAAGGACGGACGCUCCGCCGGGGCGUUCUGUGGGCUCUUGGUUCAGCCUGUCCGCCGGGUGCCUGUAUUCCCAGGGUAGUCUUGGCCCGCUAUUUAUAUCACAUAGUGGCUAUACACUUUGACCUUCUCUACUGUAACUGUAUAUUGGUCUGCUAAAUGUCAUAUUAGUUGUAUAAAUCAUCUUUGCCUCUUUGCUUUUGAGGAAAAUACACAAUCAUUAGUAGCCAAUGAAGCAUUAUUAUACGACUUUUAAAGAAGGCCGUAUACCCAUACACCGUAACAGCACAUACUCUAAUCUGUUUGUAAAAAAAAAGUCAACGAUAUUUUUAUUCCGAUAUCUGAAAUGCAUUUCUUCACUUGACAAAAUUAGAGAAUUAAUAUAUAUAUGG